GAGUUAAGCUAGUUAUUAACUCUCGAAACUGAUCAUAGUGGCAUUCUACCUCAGGGUAAUUAAUGGGCAUAAUGCAUCCUGAGGCAAGAAAACACCAAAGAAGCAGUUUUAGUCUUACUUUAAACUAAGCCAAGCAAGGCCAACAGUGUUCCUCUGAAGAGGGAGCACAGGCCCGUGUGGUUGAUGUUAUUACUGAUACAAGCGCUUUUAGGAAGCGGUCAACUUUGUGCCAAUUCGUACUUUCUUCUUUUAUAUUUAAUUUUUACUUUUUAUUUAUUUCAGGCAUAUCUUCCCUUCCCAUCUGCAGAAAGACGGAGCUGAGCGGAACCCAGAGGCAAUUAAGAUCUGCACCACGUGCUGCUUUCAAGAAGAAGGUGAGGAAACACGCUGGCCAUUAUGCAGAGAUCACGGAGAUGAAGGAAGAGUCACGCUAAUGAAGACAGGAAGGACGAUGAACUCAGACUCGGGGAGACAGGAAAGUGAAUAAAAGCACCAGACUGAAACACAGCAGCAAUUUUAUUCCAGCAGCAAUCUUCUGAAACAGAAAUUGGGAUUAAAAACACGUUUAUAAUGAACAACCAGCAACCUCCGCAGACCAGCAGCAUUCACGUGGGGGACAGAGGAUCAGUCAGCAGCAAGGUCAGAAGCUGAAAUGGGUGCUGGAGCCCCAGAGACCCCCAUGAGAAAGAGCCACCAGCCGUCUCUCCCUGCCGCAGUGAGCUGACGGAGCUGGCAAUUCUUCCGCAGGCAUCAAGGUCCUGAUCUUGCUCCCAGCAAAGUCAAAGGCAAAAUUCCCAUUGUAUGAUGGAUCACAACUAAUUUCCUGCAGGCUCGAUGAAGUUGCUCGAACCAGCUUCCAAAAACAAGCCAAUGCAUUUUAAAACCACAGCUGGGGGUCUACUGUAUUAUAACGUGACCCCUGAGAGGGUACAAAUUGCUGUGAGCAGCAGCCGCAGACAAUCUGAGGCAGAUUUAGGGUAUUUCAAGCCAGGGACGGCUCAGCUUCUGCCAUCGCCCUUCUGUGCGGAGGUUUGUUUAGUGUUUUGCCUGCCCUCUGUGUAAACGGUGAUGAACCUGAACCACUAACCUCUCCUCUGCUUUGCUCAUAAGGCGAACAGCAAAGUGCAGCCAAUUCCUCCGGAGGAAGCAGCAGAUCAGGCGGCCUUUAUGCAUUAUCCUCAGAGUGCGUGAGGGCAGUCAGCAAUGUAAAUGUCAUGAAAAGACAGUGAGAGUGACAGCAGGAUGACCGGCUGGUUAGGAACUGCACUGCCCACAAGCUGCUUCUGAGUCCUACCAAUAAUCAGAGAAAUUGGACCUAUGGUGGACACCGGAGGCCAUCACCAAGAUGAGAACUUGGCACAUUUUUGCACAUUUCCACCAGCUCAAAUAAUAUCCUUGCUAUUGCCCUCGUAAAACAUUGACCACGGCAGCAGGUCUCUCCAUCCUUCCCAAAUCUGGCAGUGUGGCAGAGCCACAUCAUCUUCAGGUAUCCCUCUUAGAGUUACCCGCUCUUGGAGCAACCAUAUCUGCCCCAGCUUAUUGCACCAUCCACUAAGGGUCAGCACAGAAACCCAAGCAGGCUAGAUCAAAAGCCACAUAGUGAAAAAGAGCUGAAGGCAUCUGUGCUCAAAGCAUGUUCACUCGCACUCAUUUCAGGCCUAAAACUGCAGUGUUUUUCUACCAGUCUUCAGAGGGAAGGAGUUGAAGACCCCCAUCCUGUGAGAGGUUUCUCCUACAAAACAUUGUCCAUGUCACAGAAGAGCUGGAAAUAGUGUCAGGAGGAAGGGUUUGGCCAGUUUGGAUAUUACUCUAAAUCCUUGUCCUUUAGAAUCGCACUAGUUUUACGCAAAGACAACCCACAACACUUGCAUUUGAUCAUAAGUACCAGAAGAGUACAGUUUUUCACAUUGUUACAGCUUCUCCUGCUUGCUCAAACUGUGAUGGAGAACAGAUAAUCUUUAGAAGAAAAGCACAAAUGGAAAGCUGGUUAAAAAGUGGGGAAGCGUCAAUCAGCCACACAAAGCUGACAACAGAUCAAAGACCGUAUCAAUGAUUAACAGGAGUAGAUCAGGGAUUUUUGUUUUUUCAAAGCUUAUUCUGAGCCAGCUGAAAGUGAAAUACGUGGUGCUACAACCUUCCGGUGUGUUUCAGCAUAAAAGAAAGUCCUACUUCAUAUCCAUCAGCAAACUGCAGACCUGGCAUUUCUCUUCACUUCUUCACCCUUCAGUCGAUCAAACAGGCUGUUCUGAGCAUCUGACAACCUUGCUGUAGCCAACUCGAGUUAAACAUCAAAGAAAUAAAAGCCCAAGACCUGGCUUGAUGUUUCGUGUG
Molecule: long non-coding RNA, 2331 nt
Filed under: Anas platyrhynchos platyrhynchos (common mallard)
Lineage: Eukaryota; Metazoa; Chordata; Aves; Anseriformes; Anatidae
Description: lncRNA (ENSAPLG00000019891.1)
Source: RNAcentral